This 29-nucleotide non-coding RNA is filed under the name Rattus norvegicus (Norway rat). Lineage: Eukaryota; Metazoa; Chordata; Mammalia; Rodentia; Muridae. The record is from RNAcentral.
UAAGAUACAUGUUAGGUGACCAAGUGGGU